AAUGAGCCACAGCUGCGAAGUCCUUAGUUGGGCAGCAGCUGUGGCUCGUAAAGAUAACUGGAAUAAAAGGGGUGGGUCGAGAGGCCUGGAGGAGCCCUUGUGAAACCUUGAGGAACUGCGCAGCAGAGAAGAGCUACGUGGUAGAAAACCAGCUAGAAGGAAACCCCUUCUCUCACACUGCUUUUCAAUACAAUCCACCUCCCUCCAAGGAGAUAUGAAAACAAUAUGGCGGAGAAGUCCCUUUCUCCAGACCACGUGACUGAAUGAAAGAACAAAGGAAAAACGACACAGAAACUGAGCCUCCGCGAUUCCAGAACUCCCUCCUUCCCCAAAGAACAACCUGCAAGGGACAGAGACAAAGCCAAAACCCGGAAGAAUCAUUUUUCAAAAAAAAAAGAGUCACUGCUGCCGAGCUGCCUGCUCCAUGCCUUACGACGGGCAGCGAUCCGGUUGGCAGUUGGGGGUUGCGAAAUACCAUUUCCCGAGGCUGUGUAGUUCCUGCCGGCAGUAACAGCUAUGGGCUUGUGGCGAGAAAGUCCGAAGAAGUGUCUCUGGCAGCUUCGGGCAAGCUUCGCCCCCCCUUCCUUGGAAAACGGCAGGCAGCUGGAACUUUCGUGGAGAGCGGGUCUGACCCCUCCUCUGCAAAAGAGCAGGCAGCCACAGCGAAGUUGUCGCUGUUAUAGAUACAUAUUAUAGUAUUGGCUACAUAUUAUAAUAUUGGCUU
Long non-coding RNA from Zonotrichia leucophrys gambelii, 724 nucleotides. RefSeq lists it as uncharacterized. Lineage: Eukaryota; Metazoa; Chordata; Aves; Passeriformes; Passerellidae. The record is from RefSeq and is a predicted model, not a curated record. The transcript is spliced from 3 exons.